GACCGUCUGGGAACACAGCCUUUCAGUUCAGGGUGAGCUCAACCAGCCCCACCCCACACCGUUGAGGACCUCCAAGGCUCUGUGAGAUGUAAAAUGCACCUUCCUCGCUCAGGGGAGACAUGGAACCAGUCUGGAAGACCUGCCUAAAGUCUUUGAGUCAUUUCCUGACAGCACUUGUUGUGCCCUAUUUUGGAAUUGGCCAUCUUAGAGAUGAUGUCAUUGGGCUUGGUAAAUCUUGACAGUACUUGAGUUUUCUAAGAAGCCACCACAAACUAGUGCUUGACCCAGCCUCGACAAUGGUGGCAGCCCAUCCCAUUUCCCAUGAGCUCCACAGUAUCCGUGAGAAACCCACACGGUGGAAGGAGAGAACCAACUGCCAUGAGCUGUUCACCGACUUCCACAUGUAUGUUGCACCCACACACAUCCAUGGAAAAUGAAGAUAUAUAUGCUUAUGAAAACUUAGCUACGUAAAGAGUUGCUUCAAGAAAAGAAUAACUGACAUCGUUCCUCACGCAGCUUGAGUGUGAACCGGGUGUGCCCCGUGGCACUUGCUCUCCGAAGCAGAGAAGUGAGCUGGUUUUCCCACCUUUGGUGGCCUUUGACUUGAGGGCAUUUGGGUUCUCCAACCUGAAUCCAACUCCCAUAUUUUGAGUAGAA
Long non-coding RNA from Arvicola amphibius (Eurasian water vole), 657 nucleotides. RefSeq lists it as uncharacterized. The transcript has 3 exons. The record is from RefSeq and is a predicted model, not a curated record. Lineage: Eukaryota; Metazoa; Chordata; Mammalia; Rodentia; Cricetidae.